GACCAGUGUAGUGUAGUGGUUUAAGUGUUGGACUAUGACUUGAGACCAGGGUUCAAUUCCCUGCUUGGCCA
Molecule: non-coding RNA, 71 nt
Organism: Phrynosoma platyrhinos (Desert horned lizard)
Lineage: Eukaryota; Metazoa; Chordata; Lepidosauria; Squamata; Phrynosomatidae
Source: the annotation of a GenBank genome assembly